RNAcentral lists this ribosomal RNA (1211 nucleotides) under metagenome. Its description in RNAcentral is "bacterial LSU rRNA". It matches the Rfam family "Bacterial large subunit ribosomal RNA", at positions 1693 to 2925 of the family's 2925-position model. The record is from RNAcentral.
GAAGAAGCAUUGCUAAGGAACUCGGCAAAAUGACCCUGUAACUUCGGGAGAAAGGGUGCCUCGAAAGAGGCCGCAGAGAAUAGGCCCAAGCAACUGUUUAGCAAAAACACAGGUCUAUGCAAAACCGCAAGGUGAAGUAUAUGGGCUGACGCCUGCCCGGUGCUGGAAGGUUAAGGGGAGAUGUCAGGAGACGAAGCAUCGAACUUAAGCUCCAGUAAACGGCGGCCGUAACAAUAACGGUCCUAAGGUAGCGAAAUUCCUUGUCGGGUAAGUUCCGACCCGCACGAAAGGCGUAAUGAUUUGGGCGCUGUCUCGGCAAUGCAUCCGGUGAAAUUGAAGUGCCAGUGAAGAUGCUGGCUACCCGCGCCAGGACGGAAAGACCCCAUGGAGCUUUACUCCAGCUUGAUACUGGGAUCCGGUAUUGUAUGUACAGGAUAGGUGGGAGGCUGAGAAAUGGUGACGCCAGUCGCCAUGGAGCCGCUGUUGGGAUACCACCCUUGCAGUACUGGGUUUCUAACCAGCAGCCGUAAACCGGCUGGGGGACAAUGUCAGGUGGGGAGUUUGACUGGGGCGGUCGCCUCCGAAAGGGUAUCGGAGGCGCUCAAAGGUUCCCUCAGAAUGGUCGGAAACCAUUCGAAGAGUGCAAAGGCAGAAGGGAGCUUGACUGCGACACCGACGGGUGGGGCAGGUACGAAAGUAGGACUUAGUGAUCCGGUGGUAUUAAGUGGGAAUGCCAUCGCUCAACGGAUAAAAGCUACCCUGGGAUAACAGGCUUAUCACUCCCAAGAGUUCACAUCGACGGAGUGGUUUGGCACCUCGAUGUCGGCUCAUCGCAUCCUGGGGCUGUAGUAGGUCCCAAGGGUUGGGCUGUUCGCCCAUUAAAGCGGUACGCGAGCUGGGUUCAGAACGUCGUGAGACAGUUCGGUCCCUAUCCGGCGUGGGCGCAGGAUAUUUGAGAGGAGCUGACCUUAGUACGAGAGGACCGGGUUGGACUGACCUCUGGUGCACCGGUUGUCAUGCCAAUGGCACAGCCGGGUAGCCAAGUCGGGAAGGGAUAAACGCUGAAGGCAUCUAAGCGUGAAGCCCCCCUCAAGAUGAGAUAUCCCCCGCAUAAGCGGUAAGACCCCUUGAAGACGACGAGGUAGAUAGGGCAGAGGUGGAAGUGCAGUAAUGUAUGGAGCUGACUGCUACUAAUAGGUCGAAGGCUUAAU